Pelobates cultripes (western spadefoot toad) is the source of this 292-nucleotide non-coding RNA. The record is from the annotation of a GenBank genome assembly. NCBI's taxonomy places the organism in Eukaryota, Metazoa, Chordata, Amphibia, Anura, Pelobatidae.
GAACCUUUAAUUGCUACCUAACACCUAACUGCUAUGGAAAGUUAUCAUGUACUCAAUAUGUAGGUUAUUGUAUGGUGCUUAUAUGGGGUCAUCACUUUCUGUGUGAUGCAUAACUAGAAGCGAGGGUAAAUGGGAGAUAUUUCAUACAUUAUCAUUUUGUAUUGUUAAUUAGAGAUGUGUCUUCUUGACAAUGUAUUAUGGACAGUUUGCUGGAACAAAAUGAGAAUUCAGAUGGCUGAGAUGAGAUAAUUACCUCAAACACCCAAACUAUACUACCUAAAUACUCCAAAUA